This 521-nucleotide ribosomal RNA is filed under the name uncultured bacterium. RNAcentral describes it as "bacterial SSU rRNA". It matches the Rfam family "Bacterial small subunit ribosomal RNA", at positions 777 to 1296 of the family's 1533-position model. The record is from RNAcentral.
AAUAGAUACCCCGGUAGUCCAUGCCGUAAACGAUGAGUGCUAAGUGUUAGAGGGUUUCCGCCCUUUAGUGCUGCAGCUAACGCAUUAAGCACUCCGCCUGGGGAGUACGGUCGCAAGACUGAAACUCAAAGGAAUUGACGGGGGCCCGCACAAGCGGUGGAGCAUGUGGUUUAAUUCGAAGCAACGCGAAGAACCUUACCAGGUCUUGACAUCCUCUGCCACUCCUAGAGAUAGGACGCUUCCCUUCGGGGAACAGAGUGACAGGUGGUGCAUGGUUGUCGUCAGCUCGUGUCGUGAGAUGUUGGGUUAAGUCCCGCAACGAGCGCAACCCUUGAUCUUAGUUGCCAGCAUUCAGUUGGGCACUCUAAGGUGACUGCCGGUGACAAACCGGAGGAAGGUGGGGAUGACGUCAAAUCAUCAUGCCCCUUAUGACCUGGGCUACACACGUGCUACAAUGGAUGGUACAAAGGGCUGCGAGACUGCGAAGUCAAGCGAAUCCCAUAAAACCAUUCUCAGUUCGG